This is a long non-coding RNA of Melitaea cinxia (Glanville fritillary), 358 nucleotides long. RefSeq lists it as uncharacterized. The transcript is spliced from 3 exons. The record is from RefSeq and is a predicted model, not a curated record. Lineage: Eukaryota; Metazoa; Arthropoda; Insecta; Lepidoptera; Nymphalidae.
UCAGACUUUCGGGCUUCAGACUUUCCAAUCUUCAUGCACUAAAUAUUAUUUUUGUUACUUAGUUCUUUCUUUUUUUUUUCGGGUUUCAGAUUUCCUACGGAUUCCGUACUAAGAAAUCGCUGGAGAGAAGUCAUACAGCAGACACGAAAUGAAGAUCACUGGAAACCUCACAAAACUUCAGUUGUGUGUUCCGAACACUUUUCUGAUGAUAAAUUUUAUGAAACAAAAAAGAGAUUACGACGGCUGAAGAAUGGAUCGGUACCAAACAAGUGUUUGUUUUUGUCAGCGACUGAAACAGAAUCCUCAACAAAUGAAAAACAUAGCCUAUCCAGUUCUAAGGGGGUCGAUAUUCAUAUAA